CUACGGGGGGCAGCAGUGAGGGAUAUUGCACAAUGGGGGAAACCCUGAUGCAGCAACGCCGCGUGGAGGAUGACGCAUUUCGGUGUGUAAACCCCUUUUAUCAGAGAAGAAAAUGACGGUAUCUGAUGAAUAAGCUCCGGCUAACUCCGUGCCAGCAGCCGCGGUAAUACGGAGGGAGCAAGCGUUAUUCGGAAUCACUGGGCGUAAAGGACGCGUAGGCGGGUCAUUAAGUCAGGUGUGAAAUCCAAUGGCUCAACCAUUGAACUGCACUUGAAACUGGUAACCUAGAGUAUGGAAGGGGCAGAUGGAAUUAGUGGUGUAGGGGUAAAAUCCGUAGAUAUCACUAGGAAUACCGAAAGCGAAGGCGAUCUGCUGGGACAUUACUGACGCUGAGGCGUGAAAGCGUGGGGAGCAAACAGGAUUAGAUACCCGGGUAGUC
Molecule: ribosomal RNA, 439 nt
Filed under: uncultured bacterium
Lineage: Bacteria
Description: partial 16S ribosomal RNA
Rfam family: Bacterial small subunit ribosomal RNA
Source: RNAcentral